This 731-nucleotide ribosomal RNA is filed under the name uncultured bacterium. RNAcentral's name for it is "bacterial SSU rRNA". It matches the Rfam family "Bacterial small subunit ribosomal RNA", at positions 56 to 785 of the family's 1533-position model. The record is from RNAcentral.
UGCAGUCGAGCGGUAACAGAUCUAGCUUGCUAGAUGCUGACGAGCGGCGGACGGGUGAGUAAUGCAUAGGAAUCUGCCCGAUAGUGGGGGAUAACCUGGGGAAACCCAGGCUAAUACCGCAUACGUCCUACGGGAGAAAGGGGGCUCCGGCUCCCGCUAUUGGAUGAGCCUAUGUCGGAUUAGCUAGUUGGUGAGGUAAUGGCUCACCAAGGCAACGAUCCGUAGCUGGUCUGAGAGGAUGAUCAGCCACAUCGGGACUGAGACACGGCCCGAACUCCUACGGGAGGCAGCAGUGGGGAAUAUUGGACAAUGGGGGCAACCCUGAUCCAGCCAUGCCGCGUGUGUGAAGAAGGCCCUCGGGUUGUAAAGCACUUUCAGCGAGGAAGAACGCCUGUCGGUUAAUACCCGGUAGGAAAGACAUCACUCGCAGAAGAAGCACCGGCUAACUCCGUGCCAGCAGCCGCGGUAAUACGGAGGGUGCAAGCGUUAAUCGGAAUUACUGGGCGUAAAGCGCGCGUAGGUGGCUUGAUAAGCCGGUUGUGAAAGCCCCGGGCUCAACCUGGGAACGGCAUCCGGAACUGUCAGGCUAGAGUGCAGGAGAGGAAGGUAGAAUUCCCGGUGUAGCGGUGAAAUGCGUAGAGAUCGGGAGGAAUACCAGUGGCGAAGGCGGCCUUCUGGACUGACACUGACACUGAGGUGCGAAAGCGUGGGUAGCAAACAGGAUUAGAUAC